UACGUAGGGUGCAAGCGUUGUCCGGAUUUAUUGGGCGUAAAGAGCUCGUAGGCGGUCAGUCACGUCGGAUGUGAAAACCCGGGGCUUAACUCCGGGCCUGCAUUCGAUACGGGCUGACUAGAGUGUUGUAGGGGAGACUGGAACUCCUGGUGUAGCGGUGAAAUGCGCAGAUAUCAGGAAGAACACCGGUGGCGAAGGCGGGUCUCUGGGCAACUACUGACGCUGAGGAGCGAAAGCGUGGGGAGCAAACAGG
Molecule: ribosomal RNA, 253 nt
Filed under: uncultured bacterium
Lineage: Bacteria
Description: partial 16S ribosomal RNA
Rfam family: Bacterial small subunit ribosomal RNA
Source: RNAcentral